RNAcentral lists this ribosomal RNA (494 nucleotides) under uncultured bacterium. Its description in RNAcentral is "partial 16S ribosomal RNA". It matches the Rfam family "Bacterial small subunit ribosomal RNA", at positions 28 to 507 of the family's 1533-position model. The record is from RNAcentral.
GACGAACGCUGGCGGCGUGCUUAACACAUGCAAGUCGAACGGUGAAGCGCCUUCCUUUUUGGAGGGUGUGGAUGAGUGGCGAACGGGUGAGUAACACGUGAGUAACCUGCCCCGUUCUUCGGGAUAACCGCAUGAAAGUGUGGCUAAUACGGGAUAUUCUGGGUCUGUCGCAUGAUGGGUCUGGGAGAGAUAGUGUGUCGGUGGGGGAUGGGCUCGCGGCCUAUCAGCUUGUGGGUGGGGUGAUGGCCUACCAAGGCGGUGACGGGUAGCCGGGCUGAGAGGGUGGCCGGUCGCGAUGGGAGUGGGACACGGUCCGGACUACUACGGGAGGCAGCAGUGGGGAAUAUUGCACAAUGGGCGCAAGGCUGAUGCAGCGACGCCGCGUGAGGGAUGGAGGCCUUCGGGUUGUGAACCUCUUUCGCCAGUGAAGCAGGCCUGCCUCGUUUGUGGGUGGGUUGACGGUAGCUGGAUAAGAAGCGCCGGCUAACUACGUG